CCCAGGUCAGCCCACAGCAAAAUCCCACACAACAAAGCUGAGCCUUGGCCUAGUGGCUAAACAGUUCUUCAGGAUCUGGGCCAGAAAGCUAUUGUAUUUGCUACCCAUUUACAGACUCUAGGCAGCAAAGGAGUCCUACAAGGCCUGACUUGAGUAGGAAAACUUGUAGGCCAGUACCCAGGAGAGUGCACGCCCUCGAAAGUUCCCCUACAUGCAGGUUGAAGCAGUUAAAUUGCUUAGUGACAUCCAACUUGGACCCAAUUAAAAUUAAUGUUUGGUUAAAUGGUCAUCCAAUUCCCAUAGAGGUCGAUACUGGCGCAGCUGUAUCUGUGGUUGUAGAAUUCGACUAUAAUAAGAUUCGCUUGAGACUCCAACCUUUUAGCUUGUGCAAGACCUCAGCCAGACGGAGAACGUACACUGGGGAACCAUUGCACAUUAAAAGUACGACUUCAGUUCCGGUGCCCUAUGAGAAGCAGUUGGUGCAGUUACCAUUGAUGGUAGUAAAAGGUUCGGGCCCAAGUUUAUUGGAGUGGAAUUGCUUGAGAAAGAUUCACCAAGAUUGGCUCAGCACUUUUCCAUUGGAAAAUGGUUGCCUCAGUGAAGUCCUAGUGAAAUACCCAGGAGUUUUUUCGGAAGGGCUUGGGACCAGGAAGCAUUUCCGAGAUAUUCCAAGGCCCACCCAGUGCCAUUUGUCUUCUGGGUAAAAAUAGAGGCAGAAAUCAGGAGCCUGGAGAGUGAAGGAAUCAUCAAACCAGUGCAGUUUGUAGAAUGGGCAGUACCAGUCAUACUGAUGGCUCAGUUCACUUUUGUGGGGAUUUUAAGCAAAUGAUAAACUGCUUCUUGCAGCUGGAUAAAUACCCGAUCCCUCGCAUAGAGGACUUGUACACAGAGUUGGUAGGAGGGUUGUCCUUUAUGAAGCUGACAUGAGCCAUGCCCACCUGCAAUUGCAACUGGAUGAGCAGUCCCAGAAGUACGGUACAAUUAAUACCCAUAAGGUUUUAUAUCAAUAUACAAGGCUGCCAUUUGGUGUAUUGUCAGCGUGCGCCAUUUUCCAGCGGACCAUGGAGAACAUUUUACAAGGGCUACCCCUGUUUAUCAUUUAUCUGGAUGACAUACUAAUAACAGGGAAGGCCAAUGAAGAGGAUGUAGAGAACGUAGACAUAGUGCUUAAUUGUUUCUCCCAGGUGGCCUUAGAAGGGAAAAUGUGUGUUCUAGGCACCCCAAGAGACCUACUUGUGUUACAGAGUCAACAAAACCGAGUUACACCUAUUGGAAGAUAAAGUGAGGGCCAUCAAAGGAUCCCCGGCUCCCACCUCUGUACCAGAAUUUACGUCUUUCCUUGGGUUGGUGAAUUAUUACAGAAAAGUCAUACGUAACCUGGCCUCCAUCUUGGCACUCUUACACCUGCUAUUGUAAAGGGGUCAGCCUUGGAAAUGGUCACGAAGGGAACAUUUAGGGAAGUGAACAAGCAGCUAUCGUCAUCUCAGAUGUUGGCUCACUAUGAUAUGAAGCGAGAAGUAGUGCUGAUGUGCGAUGCCUCCCUGUACAGUACUCAGGUAGUAUUGGUUCACUGGUGACCCAAUGAAGAGGAACGCCUGAUAGGGUAUGCUGCUGGACUUUGGCUGAUGCCAAACACUAGCAUGCCCAGAUUGAGAGGGAAGGUUUGGAGGUCAUCUUUGGCAUGAGGAAAUUCCACUAGUACCUUUGUGGAUGGGAAUUUGUCAUAGUGACAGAUCACAAACCCCUGCGAAAGACAUUGAAGGAAGACAAGGCCCAUAGCUUUUGGGAGAACUCAGCGUCGGGUCCUUAUUCUCAGUGCGUACAAUUACAAGUUGGAACACCGUCCAGAAAGCCCAAGUGGCUAAUGUGGAUGCCUUGAAGCGCCUCCCACUGGCAGACAGUCCAGCAGAGAUGCCUUCCUGGGAAGAGUCUGUUUUGGUUUUGAAAUUUCUGGACACCCUUCCAGUCACCGCAGGCAACAUCCGAUUGUGGACACAAAAGGAUCCUGUCCCAGUGAAACUGAAACAGCUGGUGAUAACGGGUGAAGUAAAAGGGCCAUCGCAACCAGGAUUGAAACCUUUUUGGACCGGCGAGACCAGAUCACUGUAGAUGACGGCAUAUUACUGUUGGGAGCAAGGGUGAUUGUUCCGGGUAAAGGUUGCUGUCAGAUACUGGCCAAACUCCAUCAGGAUCAUCCAGGAGAUUUCCAAGAUGAAAAUCCUGGCAAGAAGCUAUGUCUGAUGGCUGGGGUUGGAUGCCGACAUAGCUGCGUUGGUGGGGCAGAACCCAGAAUGCCAACAAGGACAAAAAUUGCCACAAGCAGCGCCCCCCCCAUUCGUGGGCAGGGAUGGGUAAACUGUGGACUUAGUUGCAUUGACAACUAUUCCAGUCCUUUCAUGGGCUCAAUGUUCCUAGUCAUUGUGGACACCCAUUCAAAGUGGUUGGUUAGGCAUAAAAUUUGUUCAGCAAACUCAGGGAUGACAAUUGAGAAGAUACAAGCAUCAUUUGCAAUACAUGAUCUCCUGCAUGUAUUGGUCGCGGACAAUGGGAUGUCAUUUACCAGCAGAGAAUUUGAAUACUUCUUAAAUUUCAAUGGCAUUCAGCACAUAAGGACAGCUCCAUGCCAACCGUCAUCCAGUUAUCCAGUGGAAAGAGCAGUUGGCUGAAAGAAACAGCCUACAAUGUCAGUUGAGACCAAACUGUCCCGGUUCCAGUUCGAUUAUAGGACCACCCCCACACGAAACAACAGGAAUAGCUCCAGCGGAGUUGCUGAUGGGGAGAAGACUCUCCACCAGGUUAAAUCUGACAAUCCCAGACCUGGAUGGGUGAGGGUGAAACAGCAGCAGGAACGCCAAUGACGGUCGCAUGCUUCCUCUAAGUGAGAGAGACAACUCAGUUCAGGGGAUGAAGUUUCAUGCCGGAAACAUGGGCAUGGCCCUGUAAGGGUACGAGGUGAAGUUGGUGCGAGGUCAGGUCCCGUGACUUACAAAGUUCGGCUUGGUGAUACAGCCCUGAACAAAUGUGCGGAUCACUUGAAAGCCUCGCAAACUGAGCAGGAGCAAAGCAUACCUGGCCCCUCAGAACAGCCUGAAAGCCCGACAAAAACUGCAUUUGCUCCCCCUCCGUCUAGUAUCGAGGAAACCUCAGAGUCCAAGAUGGAUGCAGCCUCGAUACCGCUGUCACCGAAAGAUGAUGAGGAGACUCUUCUGAGAUGAUCCGGAUGCAAGGGACGGGCCAUGGUUUGGCACACGGCACCUGUCUCUGAGUCUGAGUCAGAGGAACUGGACCUUGGGCAAACGUGUUGCAGCACAGAUCUCAGCAGUUCAAAAUUAAAAAGUUAAUAAGGUGAGACAACAAGGUGCAGGGCUGGAUGAACACAGCAGGCCAAGCAGCAUCAUAGGAGCAGAGCUUUAACCAUUCCACUGAUCCAAGAUUCCAUCAGUCCAGUUGUCUAGAAGGAAAGGCGAUGAUUAUAAAAAAGUAACUUCUUCAUGUUUCACUGAUAAACUUCUGUGAAUCCUCAGUAGGUUUAAAACAAUGUAAUUCUGGUACAUGCUCAAAGCCUCUCCAACUCUCCUUCUUUAAGAUGCUCCUCAAAACCUAGCUGUUUUGCUUUAUUGAUUGUAGGCAUUUCAAAUAAAUGCAAAAAAAAAGUCAACUCUGGAGGUUAACUAUAAGAUAAACUCAUAUAAACAACACCCUGCCAACAAGUUGCUCAACCCCAACAAUAACAACAACAAUUUGUAUUAUAACAUGUCAUUCACAUGAUAAAAAGUUCCAAUGUUCUUCACAGUGGUAAUAUUAAAAAAUUGACAUCAAAUCACAUAAGGAGGUAGCAGGGCAAAUGCCAAAAGCUUAGUCUAAGUGUUACGUUUUAAGAAGUGUCUUAAAGGAGGAGACAGAAAGGCAGAGACAUUUAAGGAACGAAUUCCAAAGUUUAGAUCUUGACUGAAGCUGUGGCUACAAAAGAUGGAAAAUAAAAGUCAGGAAUGUUCAGGAAACCAGAAUUAGGGAGGAGUGGAAUUGUUUUUUAUUCAUUCACAGGAUGAGGGCAUCGCUGGUUAGGCAGCAUUUAUUGCCCAUCCCUAAUUGCCCA
Rhincodon typus (whale shark) is the source of this 4096-nucleotide long non-coding RNA. RefSeq lists it as uncharacterized. The transcript has 3 exons. The record is from RefSeq and is a predicted model, not a curated record. Lineage: Eukaryota; Metazoa; Chordata; Chondrichthyes; Orectolobiformes; Rhincodontidae.